Molecule: ribosomal RNA, 497 nt
Filed under: uncultured bacterium
Lineage: Bacteria
Description: bacterial SSU rRNA
Rfam family: Bacterial small subunit ribosomal RNA
Source: RNAcentral
UGGGCGAAAGCCUGACCGAGCGACGCCGCGUGAGCGAUGAAGGCCAUUAGGUUGUAAAGCUCUGUCGAGGGGGAACAAGCCGCAAGGUUGAGUGAUCCCUGGAGGAAGCACGGGCUAAGUUCGUGCCAGCAGCCGCGGUAAGACGAACCGUGCGAACGUUGUUCGGAAUCAUUGGGCUUAAAGGGCGCGUAGGCGGGUGUUCAAGUCCGGGGUGAAAGCCUCCAGCUCAACUGGAGAAGAGCCCCGGAUACUGUUCACCUGGAGAGAGAUAGGGGCACAUGGAACUUCCGGUGGAGCGGUGAAAUGCGUAGAGAUCGGAAGGAACGCCGGUGGCGAAAGCGAUGUGCUGGAUCUUUUCUGACGCUGAGGCGCGAAAGCUAGGGGAGCAAACGGGAUUAGAUACCCCGGUAGUCCUAGCCCUAAACGAUGGGUACUGGGUUGCGGGUCAGACAUAGACUCGCAGCCGAAGCAAAAGUGUUAAGUACCCCGCCUGGGGA